GGCCAGUUAGCUCAGUCAGUAGAGCUUAGCACUAGCAACGCUAAGGUCGCGGAUUCGAUUCCUGUUCGGUCCC
Molecule: transfer RNA, 73 nt
Filed under: Apaloderma vittatum (bar-tailed trogon)
Lineage: Eukaryota; Metazoa; Chordata; Aves; Trogoniformes; Trogonidae
Rfam family: tRNA
About the family: Transfer RNA (tRNA) molecules are approximately 80 nucleotides in length. Their secondary structure includes four short double-helical elements and three loops (D, anti-codon, and T loops).
Source: Rfam by way of RNAcentral